CAUUAAGACGCGAUGAAUACGUCCCUGUUCUUUGUACACACCGCCCGUCGUUAUCGAAGAUGAAGACAGGCGCGAGCGAUCUACCAGAAAGUGAGCGCAGGUCUUUAGAUCUGAUACAAGUCGUAACAAGGUAGCUGUAGGAGAUCCUGUAGCUGG
RNAcentral lists this ribosomal RNA (156 nucleotides) under Loma branchialis. RNAcentral describes it as "partial small subunit ribosomal RNA". It matches the Rfam family "Microsporidia small subunit ribosomal RNA", at positions 1152 to 1304 of the family's 1311-position model. Lineage: Eukaryota; Fungi; Microsporidia; Glugeidae. The record is from RNAcentral.